RNAcentral lists this unclassified non-coding RNA (383 nucleotides) under uncultured bacterium. RNAcentral's name for it is "contains 16S-23S intergenic spacer region". The record is from RNAcentral.
UCCGGUUUAUCACCGGCAGUCUCCACAGAGUCCUCGGCUUUACCCGUUAGUAACUGUGAACAAGGGUUGCGCUCGUUGCGGGACUUAACCCAACAUCUCACGACACGAGCUGACGACAGCCAUGCAGCACCUGUCUCCGGUCCAGCCGAACUGAAGGGAUCCAUCUCUGGAUCCCGCGACCGGGAUGUCAAACGCUGGUAAGGUUCUGCGCGUUGCUUCGAAUUAAACCACAUACUCCACCGCUUGUGCGGGCCCCCGUCAAUUCCUUUGAGUUUCAGUCUUGCGACCGUACUUCCCAGGCGGCGAACUUAGCGCGUUAGCUUCGAUACUGAGCUCCAAGUUGAGCCCAACAUCCAGUUCGCAUCGUUUAGGGCGUGGACUAC